This is a long non-coding RNA of Caretta caretta (loggerhead turtle), 911 nucleotides long. RefSeq lists it as uncharacterized. Lineage: Eukaryota; Metazoa; Chordata; Testudines; Cheloniidae. The record is from RefSeq and is a predicted model, not a curated record.
CACCGUGCUGCGUGCCAGGACUGCUGGGGCCUUCACGAGAUGACACCCCUCAUCCUCCUAGCCAAGAUCUUCUGCUGGCCCAUUUUCUGAGGAGCCGUUUCGGAAGUGGCGGCCGCUGGGGUUAUUGGAAUGGGGACACACAACACGGGUAUCAAACAUGGCAUCCUGCCCACCCAGUUCCUGGCUCCUCCUCACACCCCCGGAGAGAGGAGAGUCGACAUCAUUAACCCUAAUCUACAGGCGGGGAAAUCAGACCCAGCCAGGCGAAGUGAGGUGCCCCAGGCCACACAACAAGUGCUGGAAGGCUGGCUCCCGCUCCUGCGCUCCGAUCACUAGACCACGCUGCCGCUCCUCACCCCGGUUAGUCCUUGGCCCCCAUGGGGCCGCGCUGAGCACUCUGAGAGCAGGAAUUGCUUUCUGCUGGAAGUGCCACCAGAGCGUAUGAUAGGCGCAUCGCGUGCCUCUCGCCAGCAUGACCAUCUGGCAGUUCCAGAAAACUGGAAGAAAGCUAAAGUUCUGCCAAUAUUUAAGAAGGGUGAACAGGACAACCUGGGUAACUAUAGGCUGUCGUUCCAGCAUCGAUCCCAGGCAAGAUAAUGGAGUGGCUGUUAUGGGACUCAGUUAAUAAAGAAUUAAAGGAGGGUAAUGUAAUUAAUGCCAAUCAACUUGGGUUUAUGGAAAAUGGAUCCUGUCAAACUAAGUUGAUAUAUUUUUUUAAUGAGAUUGCAAGUUUGGUUGAUAAAGGUAACAGUGUUGAUGUGAUAUAGCUAAAGUUCUGUAACAUAUUUGACUGUGUACCAUAUGGCAUUUGAUUAAAAAACUAGAAAGAUACAAAAUUCACAUGGCACACAUUCAAUAGAUUAAAAGCUGGCUAAUACGUCUCAACAUGUAACUGUAAAUGGGGUACUGUC